Molecule: non-coding RNA, 32 nt
Filed under: Geobacter sulfurreducens KN400
Lineage: Bacteria; Pseudomonadati; Thermodesulfobacteriota; Desulfuromonadia; Geobacterales; Geobacteraceae
Source: RNAcentral
GCUGUCGAGAAGGCGAUACUUGACCUCUAUGC